This 482-nucleotide ribosomal RNA is filed under the name uncultured bacterium. RNAcentral's name for it is "bacterial SSU rRNA". It matches the Rfam family "Bacterial small subunit ribosomal RNA", at positions 20 to 507 of the family's 1533-position model. The record is from RNAcentral.
GGCUCCAGGAUGAACGCUAGCUACAGGCGUUUAACACAUGCAAGUCGAGGGGAAACGAUAUUGGAAGCUUGCUUCUGAUAGGCGUCGACCGGCGCACGGGUGAGUAACGCUGGGUAACCUGCCCUGUACAGGGGGACAACAGUUUGGAAACGACUGCUAAUACCGCAUAAGCGCACAGCAUCGCAUGAUGCAGUGUGAAAAACUCCGGUGGUGUAAGAUGGACCCGCGUUGGAUUAGCUAGUUGGUGAGGUAACGGCCCACCAAGGCGACGAUCCAUAGCCGACCUGAGAGGGUGACCGGCCACAUUGGGACUGAGACACGGCCCAAACUCCUACGGGAGGCAGCAGUGGGGAAUAUUGCACAAUGGGCGAAAGCCUGAUGCAGCGACGCCGCGUGAGCGAAGAAGUAUUUCGGUAUGUAAAGCUCUAUCAGCAGGGAAGAUAAUGACGGUACCUGACUAAGAAGCACCGGCUAAAUACGUG